ACUGAACGCUGGCGGCAGGCCUAACACAUGCAAGUCGAACGGUAGCACAGAGAGCUUGCUCUUGGGUGACGAGUGGCGGACGGGUGAGUAAUGUCUGGGAAACUGCCCGAUGGAGGGGGAUAACUACUGGAAACGGUAGCUAAUACCGCAUAACGUCUUCGGACCAAAGUGGGGGACCUUCGGGCCUCACACCAUCGGAUGUGCCCAGAUGGGAUUAGCUAGUAGGUGGGGUAAUGGCUCACCUAGGCGACGAUCCCUAGCUGGUCUGGGAGGAUGACCAGCCACACUGGAACUGAGACACGGUCCAGACUCCUACGGGAGGCAGCAGUGGGGAAUAUUGCACAAUGGGCGCAAGCCUGAUGCAGCCAGGCCGCGUGUAUGAAGAAGGCCUUCGGGUUGUAAAGUACUUUCAGCGGGGAGGAAGGCGAUGGAGUUAAUAGCUUCAUCGAUUGACGUUACCCGCAGAAGAAGCACCGGCUAACUCCGUGCCAGCCGCCGCCGUAA
This 504-nucleotide ribosomal RNA is filed under the name uncultured bacterium. Its description in RNAcentral is "partial 16S ribosomal RNA". It matches the Rfam family "Bacterial small subunit ribosomal RNA", at positions 30 to 523 of the family's 1533-position model. The record is from RNAcentral.